ACGUGACAAGGUCCCUUUGUCCUAUUACAGAACAUCUUAUUGGUAACCGUGCAAAAUCAGUAUCAAAUAAUUGGGGAGUAUUUAAUUUUCAAAAAUUGAACAUUUCGUCACAUAUCUCUAGAAGAUUAAUAUUGCAUUAAAUAUUAAAGUUAUAUUUUUUUACUUUUCUCGAAUGGAGUGCAAUAGUUUUGCUAGCGAUGAUGAAAAUUCACCAACUAAUAUAUGAGUUAUUGAUUCAUUUAGUUCUGUGUACCUAAUUCCCCCAGUAGAAAUUACAAUUCGUUUCAACUUUUCUUC
Cinara cedri is the source of this 297-nucleotide non-coding RNA. The record is from the annotation of a GenBank genome assembly. Lineage: Eukaryota; Metazoa; Arthropoda; Insecta; Hemiptera; Aphididae.